Molecule: ribosomal RNA, 445 nt
Filed under: uncultured bacterium
Lineage: Bacteria
Description: partial 16S ribosomal RNA
Rfam family: Bacterial small subunit ribosomal RNA
Source: RNAcentral
GUAAGGAAUAUUGGACAAUGGACGCAAGUCUGAUCCAGCCAUGCCGCGUGAAGGAUUAAGGUCCUCUGGAUUGUAAACUUCUUUUAUAAGGGACGAAAAAAGGCUUUUCUAAGUCGUCUGACGGUACCUUAUGAAUAAGCACCGGCUAACUCCGUGCCAGCAGCCGCGGUAAUACGGAGGGUGCAAGCGUUAUCCGGAUUCACUGGGUUUAAAGGGUGCGUAGGCGGGCAGGUAAGUCAGUGGUGAAAUCCUAGAGCUUAACUCUAGAACUACCAUUGAUACUAACUGUCUUGAAUAUUGUGGAGGUAAGCGGAAUAUGUCAUGUAGCGGUGAAAAGCUUAGAUAUGACAUAGAACACCUAUUGCGAAGGCAGCUUACUACGCAUAUAUUGACGCUGAGGCACGAAAGCGUGGGGAUCAAACAGGAUUAGAAACCCCGGUAGUCC